GUGCUUACUUUGGCAGCACGUAUACUAAAAUUCGAACAAUACAGAGAUUAGUAUGGCCCCUGUGCAAGGAUGACAUUUAAAUUCAUGAGGUAUUCCAUAUUUUC
Small nuclear RNA from Lepus europaeus (European hare), 104 nucleotides. The record is from RefSeq and is a predicted model, not a curated record. NCBI's taxonomy places the organism in Eukaryota, Metazoa, Chordata, Mammalia, Lagomorpha, Leporidae.